This 374-nucleotide ribosomal RNA is filed under the name uncultured bacterium. RNAcentral's name for it is "bacterial SSU rRNA". It matches the Rfam family "Bacterial small subunit ribosomal RNA", at positions 523 to 898 of the family's 1533-position model. The record is from RNAcentral.
AUACGUAUGGGGCGAGCGUUAUCCGGAAUUAUUGGGCGUAAAGAGUUCGUAGGCGGUCCUUUAAGUCAGAAGUGAAAGGCAGUGGCUCAACCAUUGUAAGCUUUUGAAACUGGAGGACUUGAGUGUUGGAGAGGAAAGCGGAAUUCCUAGUGUAGCGGUGAAAUGCGUAGAUAUUAGGAGGAACACCAGUGGCGAAGGCGGCUUUCUGGACAAAUACUGACGCUGAGGAACGAAAGCGUGGGGAGCGAACAGGAUUAGAUACCCUGGUAGUCCACGCCGUAAACGAUGAGUGCUAGGUGUUGGGGUAGCGAUACUUCAGUGCCGCAGCUAACGCAUUAAGCACUCCGCCUGGGGAGUACGGUCGCAAGACUGAA